AUUGAACGCUGGCGGCAGGCCUAACACAUGCAAGUCGAGCGGAGCGGCGGACGGGCGAGUAAUGCCUAGGAAUCUGCCUGGUAGUGGGGGUUAACGUCCGGAAACGGGCGCUAAUACCGCAUACUAUCAGAUGAGCCUCUGUCGGAUUAGCUAGUUGGUGGGGUAAAGGCCUACCAAGGCGAAGAUCCGUAACUGGUCUGAGUGGAUGAUCAGUCACACUGGAAGUGAGACACGUUCCAGACUCCUACGGGAGGCAGCAGUGGGGAAUAUUGGACAAGGGGCGAAAGCCUGAUCCAGCCAGGCCGCGUGUGUGAAGAAGGUCUUCGGAUUGUAAAGCACUUUAAGUUGGGAGGCGUUACCAGCAGAAUAAGCACCGGCUAACUUCGUGCCAGCAGCCGCGGUAAUAC
RNAcentral lists this ribosomal RNA (407 nucleotides) under uncultured bacterium. RNAcentral's name for it is "partial 16S ribosomal RNA". It matches the Rfam family "Bacterial small subunit ribosomal RNA", at positions 30 to 526 of the family's 1533-position model. The record is from RNAcentral.